Molecule: transfer RNA, 76 nt
Filed under: Caudoviricetes sp.
Lineage: Duplodnaviria; Heunggongvirae; Uroviricota; Caudoviricetes
Description: tRNA-Gly
Rfam family: tRNA
About the family: Transfer RNA (tRNA) molecules are approximately 80 nucleotides in length. Their secondary structure includes four short double-helical elements and three loops (D, anti-codon, and T loops).
Source: RNAcentral
GCGAUAGUAGUUCAAUUGGUAGAGCUUCUGAUUUCCAAUCAGAAAGUUGCGAGUUCAAAUCUCGUCUAUCGCUCCA